GAGGAGGUGGAGGAGGCGGAGGAGGGA
RNAcentral lists this non-coding RNA (27 nucleotides) under Homo sapiens (human). Lineage: Eukaryota; Metazoa; Chordata; Mammalia; Primates; Hominidae. The record is from RNAcentral.